This 28-nucleotide non-coding RNA is filed under the name Rattus norvegicus (Norway rat). The record is from RNAcentral. Lineage: Eukaryota; Metazoa; Chordata; Mammalia; Rodentia; Muridae.
CUACUCGUCCUUGAAGAAUGCCAGCAAG